UAAGAAUCUCAGGAGGAAAGGAGACUCGGAAACUUCAUUUUUUAAAUGGUUACUGUUAAUGCUAAUCACCUGGAGCACAUGAAGUUGCUUCUUAAUGGACAUGAAACAGGCUCAAGCAUGAGUGUUCUGUUUAAAGCCUACGAAGAGUAACUGAAGUUCUCGAAAGGAGUAGAAGCAUUCUAAAUGGAUACUCUCCAACCAACCAGGUCCUCCAGUGCCCAUGGCUAUAAACUCCUAUUUCUGUGGGAAUCUACCUGCAAACCUCUCAGUGUGGCUCAUCAGACUCUCGACUCUUGACAGUACAGAGCAGAAAGGUUCUGCUGGAUCCAGUACAUUCUCUGACCGUGCUGCAGACACUGAACUGCCACUGCUACAUUCAAGAAAGUAAGAUUCUUCACUCUCCUCCCACCUGCCAAAGCUUGCCCCUCCUCAGGAACCAGCCCGAACCCCAGCUCUGUGGGCCUUUCUGACUCCAGGACACCUGGGCUGGUCUCUCUUCUGAGAACCAGCUUGCCACACAUGCCUUAGAGUUACUCUCUGGGAGCUUAGAUUUGUGUGACUUGUCUCUCCUAUUGCCUUUGGAUGCCCUGGAAGCCUGAAAUAACUUUUUCCUUUUUAUUAGAAAAGUGGGUUUGAAGUCAAGUGGUCCUGAUACAUGACUACAAGCGAUGUGACUUUGGUCAAGCCACCUUUUCUAAGCAUGUCUGCAUCUGUAAAUGGUUGGAAGUUUAGCAUAGG
Molecule: long non-coding RNA, 738 nt
Organism: Cervus elaphus (red deer)
Lineage: Eukaryota; Metazoa; Chordata; Mammalia; Artiodactyla; Cervidae
Exons: 3
Source: RefSeq, a predicted model, not a curated record